Long non-coding RNA from Accipiter nisus (Eurasian sparrowhawk), 3068 nucleotides. The record is from Ensembl. Lineage: Eukaryota; Metazoa; Chordata; Aves; Accipitriformes; Accipitridae.
AUGUUUACAGCGGGCGUGAACGAGCUGGUGCUGGUGGUUUUCAUUGAGACUGUAGGAAAAGCGCCUCGGCAGGGCCUUAUUUCCAGGCGUCGCCCGGGCCUACACGGCUCCAAUCACUCCACCUCAGUAAUGGCGUUCGGUGCGAAGGGAAGCGAGAACCAGGGGAGGCAAAGCUGGGUGCAGCGCUGCGGGGAGCCACCGGGCCCUCCUCGCCCGGCGGCACCGGGAGGGGAGGACACGGGGACGGCGGGAGGGGCCGCCCGGCGGCCGGCAGAGCCCCCCGAGGGGCGCGGAGCACUUCCACCUCCCGGCAGCCGGGGAGAGGAUGAGGAGCCGUCAGCCAUUUUCCCUUGCCCUCCAAAACACCAGCGAUGCAGGGCCACACGCCGGGGGCUGCGAGGGAGGCGCUGCCGCCACCCGCCGCUCGUUAUCCCCACACACCCCCCUCACCACCACCACCACCCCCGCCCCGCGGGGCCCGGCUCGCCCCCUCCUCCCCGCCGCACCCCGCCGUCCCGCACCCCGACCCGGGGAGCCCCAUCCCCCGGGGAGCGCCUCCCUCCGCUCCGCUCCGCACGACGGCGGCCGGCUGCAGCACAAACAGCUGCCCCCCCGAGCAGCCGGCUUCGCCUCGCCGCGUACCCGGCCCCGGCCUCGGCUUCCCGGCCCCGCCCGGCCACAGCGCUCCUCCACUCACCCCCGCACGGCUUCUCCUUGUCCCGCGGCUGCUGCUGCGACGGCCCGGUGCCUUCCUGGGUGCUGCCGAAGGAGCGCGGCCGAGGACCGCCUCAUCCCAGGCUGGAUGUUUUGGAAAUCUUCGUGGGAAGCUUAGCACUGCAGUGAUAAGUGGGAUGUGUUCACGGAUGCCUGUGGCAGCACCUACAGAGGUCGGGCCGAGCAGCUGUCGCCAUCAUAAUUUCCUAUUUUCUGUCACACCUGACAAAACUGUGGGUUUCUCUCUGGUCAAAUUUACUAAGUAAAUAAAACAUUGGGUAGUGUCCCUGUGGACAUUUAGGACUGUAAAAAGUGGCAAAGUAGGUUCGUGUGAGCUGCUUUAGACUGAGGGCAAUCACUCCCAUGGCAUCCGUCUCUGCGCUGCCUAAAGGCAGGUAAAGUGCCUCUCUCUGAAGGCAACACGUAUUCUACCAUCUACAUUAGGACAGAUGACUCUCACCCUUUAGCUUUUAUUCCAUUUGCCCCUUCAAAAAUAGACAAAAUAAUUUUAAUUUUAUUUUGAUGAUUAUUAUUAACUAUUAAGACUAUAUUAUGAUUUCAGUAUGUUGACUAUAAUAUGUACUAAUACUAUAUAAUAUAAUUGAUGUAAUUAUAAAAUAUAAUUUAGUAUCAUUAUUAUCAAUAUCCGAAAACAGAGCUGGAAUAAUUUCUAGUACGCUCAUCAGGAGAGAACCCAUGUUUCAAUGUUGAGUCUUUAUAAUGAAGAUAAAUUGCAUUUAGAUAUGUUCAUAGAUGCUUCAGCUUGAUCAAUGCUAUUUCUUAUUUUUUCUGUUUGAAAUAGUAACACAUUUCUGUUUGUACCUCUUACCUGUACACUGAGUAAAUGUAAUACAGAUGUCCAUGAAAUCUUGGGAAUUACGUAAUAGUCAAAAUUCAGUGACUACAGAGUCACAUUAAUUAAAUACUUUUUGCAUUGUGGUUAAUCAUUUAAUGUGAAUUCCUGGUCAUCCUGAAAUCUCUGACAGCUUUUUAGUGGCUUCAAUGGGGCUAGGACAUCAACAGAGAGACAUCCCAGACAGAUGAAGCAAAACACCCCACAGUAAAAUAAAAAAAUUACUUUGCUACUAGAAAAAUGCUAUCGACUACAAGUAAACUUAGUAUGCUGUAUGCAGAGGUAAUUUCUGCAAAAAUAUGGGCAGCUCCUAUCUAUUUUUAUACCUAUUUGGUUAUAACAACAUCUUAUAACUGGUAUAGAGUCACAGCCGCGGUUUCCCUUUCUUGGUGCUGAUGUAGUUCAAAACCUCUCUGGUUUUGUACCUGACAAGCCAAAGGCAUAUACAUUCUAAUCUUGUCCAAAAAGAAGAUUGUACCAAUUUAUCUCAAUCUUUUUUAAAUUGAAGUAGUUAAAUUGAUACGUGUGUGUGUGUGCGCAGCUGAUGGUGUUCAUCUACACUUCUCUUUCAAUUAAUCUCUCUGGCAGUUGCAGCACAUCCUGCCUACUAACCAGUCCUUGUGUGGGCUUGGGAGAAGUUCAAAGACUGUAAGUAGAAAAGGACCGGGCUGCAAGCAAAACAAAGCAGAACUGAAACUAAAGUCCCAAUGUGUUUUGCUUAUUGCUCAGACCUCCUUUGCAAUACGUCGUCUCACCGUGCCCCAAAUUAGGAGGCUUGCCAACAGGGACUGCUUGAAGCCUGGUCGAUAGACCACAUUUUCUAAUGCUGCUUAAAUACGUUGCCCUUUCUAGAGCUGCAGUGCAGAAAUAAUUAACAUUUACCAAAUUCUAGCAACAAUUUGCCUUUAUAGGACUCGAGCUUAAUAACCAGCUUUAAACUUCUGCUGACAGUCCUUCUCACCUUUCUCCUUAGGAUUCGACUUGACCACCAUUUAAGCAGACAGAUGCUGGCACUCCCACCACACUCAGUGGUUCUGCUCACCCCCGGCAUCUUGUCCCUGUCCCUGAGCUCCCUGUUUCUUCAGGCUAUUGUAAAUAUUUGUGCAGUUGCUCAAGGAACCGAUAUAGCUGGGGGAAAAAAAAGAAAGAAAAAAGAUUGCUUUCAACCAUAUCAGUCUCCUGGUGGUAUUUUGCCAUGUGGAUAGAGAACCAAUUCUGCCGGCUGAGGGGAGGAGGUAGCGUGGCUGAGUGUGAUGGUUGGAGGCAAGGGGAGAGCAGAACAACAUCUCCCAGAGGCUGUGCUGACUUGGAGUGUUUGUCAAACAGUACACCCUUCAGCUCAACCUUUUAUUUCACCUGACGCCUCCUCCUAAGGAAUUCUUCACAAAUCACUGAUACUGGUCACGUUGACUAAGUGCAUCUAGUGGCAUCUCGGCCUGGGGGCUGAGCACGCCUGGGGCUGACUCUCAGCCUGGGAUGCCAUGUAGGAGUCCUGGACACU